This 73-nucleotide transfer RNA is filed under the name Gallicola sp. Its description in RNAcentral is "tRNA-Thr". It matches the Rfam family "tRNA". From Rfam's summary of the family: Transfer RNA (tRNA) molecules are approximately 80 nucleotides in length. Their secondary structure includes four short double-helical elements and three loops (D, anti-codon, and T loops). The record is from RNAcentral. Lineage: Bacteria; Bacillati; Bacillota; Tissierellia; Tissierellales; Peptoniphilaceae.
GCUUCAAUAGCUCAGUUGGUAGGGCAGCUCACUUGUAAUGAGCAGGUCGCAGGUUCGAAUCCUACUUGAAGCU